Peromyscus maniculatus bairdii (prairie deer mouse) is the source of this 104-nucleotide small nuclear RNA. The record is from Ensembl. Lineage: Eukaryota; Metazoa; Chordata; Mammalia; Rodentia; Cricetidae.
GUGCUCAUUUUGGCAGCACAGAUACUAAAAUUGGAAUGAUACAGAGAUUAUCAUGGUCCUUGUGCAGGGAUGGCAUGCAAAUUCAUAAAGGACUCCAUAUUCUU